AGGACGAACGCUGGCGGCGUGCUUAACACAUGCAAGUCGAGCGGAAAGGCCCUUCGGGGUACUCGAACGGCGAACGGGUGAGUAACACGUGAGCAAUCUGCCCUUAGCUUCGGGAUAGCCCCGGGAAACCGGGAUUAAUACCGAAUAUGACCUCGGCCGACAUCGGCCUUGGUGGAAAGUUUUUCGGCUAGGGAUGAACUCGCGGCCUAUCAGCUUGUUGGUGGGGUAAUGGCCUACCAAGGCGACGACGGGUAGCCGGCCUGAGAGGGCGACCGGCCACACUGGGACUGAGACACGGCCCAGACUCCUACGGGAGGCAGCAGUGGGGAAUAUUGCGCAAUGGGCGAAAGCCUGACGCAGCGACGCCGCGUGGGGGAUGAAGGCCUUCGGGUUGUAAACCCCUUUCAGCAGGGACGAAGCGAGAGUGACGGUACCUGCAGAAGAAGCGCCGGCUAACUACGUGCCAGCAGCCGC
RNAcentral lists this ribosomal RNA (474 nucleotides) under uncultured bacterium. Its description in RNAcentral is "SSU rRNA". It matches the Rfam family "Bacterial small subunit ribosomal RNA", at positions 26 to 518 of the family's 1533-position model. The record is from RNAcentral.